Molecule: long non-coding RNA, 875 nt
Organism: Oxyura jamaicensis (ruddy duck)
Lineage: Eukaryota; Metazoa; Chordata; Aves; Anseriformes; Anatidae
Exons: 4
Source: RefSeq, a predicted model, not a curated record
AGAUGGGUUGCUUAAGGAGGAUGCUAGCUUUUCCUGAUCAAGAUAGGAGAAAUUCUUCAACAAGUGGGAUACUGGCCUCCAUAGUGCUCAUCUUCCACCUGUUGAGUUGCCUGUUCUUGCUAGUUCAAGCCUUGCAUUCCUGACUCUUGGAUUUCAAGACAAGAGGCCUUUGUCUCCCACAGAAAAGGAGAACACAUCAGAGGGAAGAAGUGCACAUUCUGCCAACUGCAUGCAGAAGAGCAAUUUCUGUGAAGGUAAACCCUGCCCCAUUUGACUGUCUGCACCAACAUCUUGUGCUAGUGGCUCAUACAACUUGUGUGCUACAUACCUUGCAUUGUUUUAGACUUACCUGGCAAUAAAAUGGUGGGGUUUUCACCUUGUUUUAUGCAGAAUGUUUUUGUUCCUUAUAUUAAAGAAAAACACAGGCUAGGAAGAAAAGGGCCACAUUGUGCUGGCCUUCAUUUCACUGCUGGCAAGCUGCAGCACAUUUCGGUGCUGGUGUCGCUCAUGAAAUUCAACAAUUCGUUACCUCACUGGAACCAUACAAAAUUAAAAGGUGUUCUGAAGGAGCCUGCUAGCUUCUGGAAAAGCCUGGAAUCUCCUUUACUGCACACACGCGAAUACAUCUCGCUGCCUCUCCUGCAUCAGGGCCUGUAUCGCCCUCCUGUCAGCCCUUAUCUUGCAGCCUCCUCACGCAGCUGGAAAUCACAUCACAAGCUCUUAGUAUUUGUUCUCAUCCUCAGCAGUGCUGCAAGGGGCAGCCUCCCUAUGUCUUCUGCUGUACAACACUGAGAGGAGAGCACAGAGGACUGGCCUCAGAAUAAAGGCAGUAUUUAUCUAAACCUUUUCUCCCAAAGCGCAUGGUUCUUUGGGGC